AGGGUUCGAUCCUGGCUCAGAACGAACGCUGGCGGCAUGCCUAACACAUGCAAGUCGAACGCUAUUUAUAGAGUGGCGCACGGGUGAGUAACGCGUGGGAACCUGCCUUUUUCUGCGGGAUAACGGUUGGAAACGGCCGCUAAUACCGCAUACGCCCUACGGGGGAAAGGUCCGCCGGAAAAAGAGGGGCCCGCGUCUGAUUAGCUUGUUGGUGGGGUAAUGGCCUACCAAGGCGACGAUCAGUAGCUGGUCUGAGAGGAUGAUCAGCCACACUGGGACUGAGACACGGCCCAGACUCCUACGGGAGGCAGCAGUGGGGAAUAUUGGACAAUGGGGGCAACCCUGAUCCAGCAAUGCCGCGUGUGUGAUGAAGGCCUUAGGGUUGUAAAGCACUUUCACUGGUGAAGGUGAUGACGGUAACCAGAGAAGAAGCCCCGGCUAACUUCGUGCCAGCAGCCGCGGUAA
Molecule: ribosomal RNA, 465 nt
Filed under: uncultured bacterium
Lineage: Bacteria
Description: bacterial SSU rRNA
Rfam family: Bacterial small subunit ribosomal RNA
Source: RNAcentral